GACAAUAAUAAUAUUUGAUGAUUUGUGUGUUCCAUAGUGCAGUUCCACCAUUGCCUGCUAUAUACCCCAGUGCAAUUCGACCAUACCCGCCCUGGCAAACAAAAUCCCGAGCAACGCCGGGUAACGAAAACUAGAAUAAAAUUAAAACAUAUUAUUCACACAUUAAACAAAGUUAUGGUUUUAAUAAAAUAAUAUAGGUAAGUCGUAAGUAAAAUAAUUACAUAAAAAAAUUUAGAUUUUUCUAAACCAAUUUUUCAAAUUUAAAUUUCUGAAUACAAUAAGAAAUUAAUCGUUCAGUCAAGACCGACGAAUCGUUGCCACGGCAUUGAGCUCGAUAUUCAGAUGGGGGUCUUCGAUGCGGUACCGUCCUCGUUCACCGAUGGUGGUUGGUGCGAAACACUAGUGCUUACCGCUACUAAGCCGAAUGUCGUUGCCAGCUUGCCCUCCACGCAAAAAACGGUCCUCCAACUUCCAAGGCACCCAAUGUACCUACGUCUGCUUAAUGUGAUCGUUUUCCCGUGAUUUAAGCGCCACGUUGUGCACACCGCCUGAUACAGUGUUGUAUUCGUUCAGCAUCCGACUCUAUUUUGAUUGUAGCCCUCCAUGCCCGUCUGUGCCGUUGGGUCUCAUAUUCCCGCCAGUGGAAAUUUAAAUACAUCUAACAUCAAGGUACAUCAAGAACACAACAAAAACAAUUAUAACGUGACACUAAAUAAUUAUUAUAAUUAUUAUUAUACUCCUCAAACAAUAAGGAACAUUGCAGAUGGACUUGAUGCUACAAAAUUAGUUAGAAAUAGAAAUAAUGAAUUACAAAGAAAUAUCUAAGCAGUAAGUUUUCUGUUUAUCACGUCAUACCGCUUUCGGGUACAGUCCCCACCAACAUUUCAGCGGAAUUCAGUCCUAGUCGCGCCACUGAAUUCGCCACAGACUUUUCAGCUAUAGAAUUUCCUCUAUAAUAAUUUUUAUUUAUAAUAAUUAAUAUUAUAAUAGGAAAGAAGACCAGCAGUGGACUCUGAUGAUGAUACCAGAUACAGGGAGGAGCUAGAGACCAAGAAGCGAACAACCGUAUUAUACAACAUCUCGCGAGACUUGAGAUAAUGAUUGGUUCACAUAUACUAAUUUCAGCAAUUGGAUUACAAAGAACCAACCAGGACCAAGAAAUGGAGACCGUAUUAUACGACACCUGUUUCAAAUGGCGUAUCCCAGAUGGGAAAAGAUAAUGGCUAUGUUAACUUGGGAAAAUGUCGUACGGUUUGUACGACAGUUGGGACAUGGCGUGGAAGUUAUUGAAGGAUACCGGCAGGGGAUAAUCCUGUCGGUGAGACGCUCAAUAGUAAGUUUUAAGUCCAUCACGUCCUUGGCUGGGGAUCGAAUCCCCGAACAAAAAUCCGACGAAAUAAAGUCCGGCGUAAAAAAUUCCGACGGAAUAAAAGUCCCAAAUUUAAUAAUUAUUAAGUUAAGUCACUUAAUAUUAAUUUCCGCCAAUGAUAUAUUUAUAGCACGCGGUUGAACCGACUGGAGCUCAUUACAUAUGUAAUUAUUGGAGUAGUAAUUCUAUAAUUUUCAAUAAUUAUUACAUUAUAUUAUUAUAAUUAAUAAAAUGUAUAAAUUAAUAAUUCAAUUUUGUUAUUAAAAAUUAUUUCCCCCUUUCGUUCACACCACACGCCGUUUAAGUACAAUACUCUGGGGAUCGUAUCCAGCCAAUCAUUUACAAUGUUUGUGAUGCAUUGCUCUAUAAUAAUUUUUAUUUAUGAUAAUUAAUAUUAUUGUAACGGAUAGUAACCGUUUACUCACAACGCAUAAAUAUCAUUAUAUAUGAAUAGUUAAAAGUAGGAAUAAGCAAGUAGGUAGUCGACCUCCUUUAAACAAUUUUGGCAAUAGUCAAGUGUUUAUUCACGAUCAAUAUUAAAACGCAAAUCACGAAUCAGUUGUCAGGAUAAGGGGAUUGCUAAAAUCACGAGUAGAUAUACGUAUAUGUAUAUGUACGCAUUUAUGGACCAGGAUGUGGUAACCGAUAAGAAUUUAGUAAAUUCACAGAAGAGAUGACGCACUGCACGACAAAUAAACUAGCUGUCAGAACACUAUGGCAAAUACUCAGAUUAGAUAGGAAUAUUGCAAAUGCGUAGGUUGAGUCGAUGGUCACACGGAUCGCAUCCGGUAGAGACAAGAUAGCGAACCGAUAGGCAGGGGGA
Acyrthosiphon pisum (pea aphid) is the source of this 2192-nucleotide long non-coding RNA. RefSeq lists it as uncharacterized. The transcript has 4 exons. Lineage: Eukaryota; Metazoa; Arthropoda; Insecta; Hemiptera; Aphididae. The record is from RefSeq and is a predicted model, not a curated record.